CCUAGUCUAGUCUGGACAACAUAUCACUAUAUCAAAGGUCAAGGUGUUGGCAUAAAACAUAUUUUUCUCAAAUAGAAAAAAAGGCCCAAAAAUCCUCCUCUUUUCAUUGCUCUUCUUCAGUUAUUCGAUUAUGAAUCAAGAAACCCUUCCGUUGGAAUCCACUAACACGUUUCCUUGAUUGAGUCAAACCCAAUUCUUUAAAUUCACCAAGACCCCCCCUCAACGUUUCCUCUAAUGGGUUUCAAUUUGGAUAAAAAUUCAAGAUUAUAUGAUGAUUGUCGCAUUCCAAAGUAGGACAAAUGAAGUAAGAGGUAGACAUAUUGUUUGUCGCCAAAUCGAGAAGAGCUAAAGGUGCGUUCUAUUGAUUUUGUUAUUUUUACUCUUUUGGGUUGGAUCACAUGAUGUUGUACGUUUUUAAAAUGCUCAUGCAUGAUAAGUGAUUUCUGUAGACGUAUUCAUGCUGUUGUGUUAUGAUAAGUUAUGUUAAAAGUGAUUUUUGUA
Long non-coding RNA from Helianthus annuus (common sunflower), 501 nucleotides. RefSeq lists it as uncharacterized. Lineage: Eukaryota; Viridiplantae; Streptophyta; Magnoliopsida; Asterales; Asteraceae. The record is from RefSeq and is a predicted model, not a curated record. The transcript has 2 exons.